AUGUCCUCACUUCAGCAGCAUGUGUAGUAAAAUUGGAACAAUACAGAGAAGAUUAACGUGGUCUCUGUGCAAAAUGACACACAAAUUUGUGAAAUGCUCCAUAUUUUA
Erinaceus europaeus (western European hedgehog) is the source of this 108-nucleotide non-coding RNA. NCBI's taxonomy places the organism in Eukaryota, Metazoa, Chordata, Mammalia, Eulipotyphla, Erinaceidae. The record is from Rfam.